AUACGUAGGGGGCAAGCGUUAUCCGGAUUUACUGGGUGUAAAGGGAGCGUAGGCGGCGAAGCAAGUCAGAUGUGAAAAUCCAGUGCUCAACAUUGGACGUGCAUUUGAAACUGUUUAGCUAGAGUACCGGAGAGGUAAGAGGAAUUCCUAGUGUAGCGGUGAAAUGCGUAGAUAUUAGGAGGAACACCAGUGGCGAAGGCGUCUUACUGGACGGAUACUGACGCUGGGGCUCGAAAGCGUGGGGAGCAAACAGGAUUAGAUACCCUGGUAGUCCACGCUGUAAACUAUGAUAACUAUCUUUUAGCGAUACACAGUUAGAGGGUACGAGAAAUCAUUAAGUUAUCCACCUGGGGAUUACGUUCGCAAGAAUGAAACUCAAAUGAAUUGACGGGG
RNAcentral lists this ribosomal RNA (393 nucleotides) under uncultured bacterium. RNAcentral's name for it is "partial 16S ribosomal RNA". It matches the Rfam family "Bacterial small subunit ribosomal RNA", at positions 523 to 918 of the family's 1533-position model. The record is from RNAcentral.